CAGUAAGGACAUUCAUUUCAAUAUAUUUUUAUUAUGGUUUACUUACAGAAACUUACUACAGCUGCUGGGAAUAGAGAUAUAGAAGCUUUAAAAUUAUGUCUACAGAAUGGUGCAGACAUUGAUUAUCAAGAUUAAAUGUAAUUUCUAUGUUAUACUUACAGAAACUUACUACAGCUGCUAGAGGAUGGAGAUAUAGAAGCCUUAAAAUUAUGUCUACAGAAUGGUGCAGACAUUGAUUAUCGAGAUGUAAGUAAAAUAGUCACAUUCAAAACUACCUUAUUUUAAUAAUUCAUAGAAAAAUCAUUUGAAGAUACAGCCUUUUAUGGUACAUGAACAAAAAAAAGACACAAAACUACAUGUUACUUAAAAUUAAAGCACAGUGAAACAGUGAAAACUAUAAGUAACUUCAAAAUGUUGAAUAUUGUACAUAAACACACGACAACAAUUUACUUUAGAACUAUAAUAACAGAAGUAUAAAAAAUAAAAAAACAAGUUGCUUCAGAACAUAACAGAUUGUACAUAAGCAGUAUAAAACAAACACUAAAUUACUUCAGAACAUAACAUUGUACACCAGCAGUAAAAACACACAACUACAAGUUACUUCAGAACAGAACAAAUUGUACACAAGCAGUAUAAAACACACAACUACAAGUUACUUCAGAACAGAACAAAUUGUACACAAGCAGUAUAAAACACAACUACAAGUUACUUCAGAACAUAACAAAUUGUACAUAAGCAGUAUAAAACACACAACUACAAGUUACUUCAGAACAGAACAAAUUGUACAUAAGCAAACAUAAAAACACACAACUACAAAUUACUUCAGAACAUAACAGAUUGUACACCAGCAGUAUAAAACACACAACUACAAGUUACUUCAGAACAGAACAAAUUGUACAUAAGAAAUAUAAAACACACAACAACAAAUUACUUCAGAACAUAACAGAUUGAACAUAAGAAAUAUAAAGCACACAACAACAAAUUACUUCAGAACAUAACAAAUUGUACAUCAGCAGUAUAAAACACACAACUACAAGUUACUUCAGACCAUAACAGAUUGUACAUAAGCAGUAUAAAACACACAACUACAAGUUACUUCAGAACGUACAAAUUGUACAUAAGCAGUAAAAAAACACACAACUAAUUACUUUAGAACAUAACAGGUUGCACACCUGCAGUAUAAAACACAACUGCAAGUUACUUCAGAACAUAAAAGAUUUUACACUAGCAGUAUAAAACACACAACUACAAGUUACUUCAGAACAGAAAAAUUGUACAUAUUAAGAAAUAUAAAGCACACAACAACAAAUUACUUCAGAACAUAACAGAUUGUACACCAGCAGUAUAAAACACACAACUACAAGUUACUUCAGAACAGAACACAUUGAACAUAAGAAAUAUAAAACACACAACAACAAAUUACUUAAGAACAUAACAGAUUGUACACCAGCAGUAAAAAAACACACAACAACAAGUUACUUCAGAACAGAACACAUUGAACAUAAGAAAUAUAAAACACACAACAACAAAUUACUUCAGAACAUAACAAAUUGUACACCAGCAGUAAAAACAUACAACUGCAAGUUACUUCAGAACAUAACAAAUUGUACAUAAGAAAUAUAAAACACACAACUACAAGUUACUUCAGAACAGAACAAAUUGUACAUAAGAAAUAUAAAACACACAACAACAAAUUACUUCAGAACAUAACAGGUUGCACACCUGCAGUAUAAAACACAACUACAAGUUACUUCAGAACAUAACAGAUUGUACACCAGCAGUAUAAAACACACAACUUCAAGUUACUUCAGAACAGAACAAAUUGUACAUAUUAAGAAAUAUAAAGCACACAACAACUAAUUACUUCAGAACAUAACAGAUUGUACACCUGCAGUAUAAAGCACAAAACUACAAGUUACUUCAGAACAUAACAGAUUGUACACCAGCAGUAUAAAACACAUAACUAUAAGUUACAUCAGAACAUAACAGAUUGUACACCAGCAGUAUAAAACACAUAACUACAAGUUACAUCAGAACAUAACAAAUUGUACAUAAGCAGUAUGAAGCACAACAACAAAUUACUUCAGAACAUAACAAAUUGUACAUAAGCAGUAUAAAGCACAAAACUACAAAUUACUUCAGAAAAUAACAGAGUGUACACCAGCAGUAUAAAACACUCAACUACAAAUUACUUCAGAAAAUAACAGAGUUGUACACCAAGGCAGUAUAAAACACUCAAUAAACUACAAAUUACUUCAGAACAUAACAGAUUGUACACCAGCAGUAUAUAAAACACACAACUACAAAUUACUUCAGAAAAUAACAGAGUGUACACCAGCAGUAUAAAACACUCAACUACAAAUUACUUCAGAACAUAACAGAUUGUACACCAGCAGUAUAAAACACAUAACUACAAGUUACAUCAGAACAUAACAAAUUGUACAUAAGCAGUAUAAAACACACAACUACAAGUUACUUCAUACCAUAACAAAUUGUACAUCAGCAGUAUAAAACACACAAUUGCAAGUUACUUCAUACCAUAACAGAUUGUUCAUAAGCAGUAUAAAACACACAACCACAAGUUACUUCAGAACAUACAAAUUGUACAUAAGCAGUAAAAAAACACACAACAACAAGUUACUUCAGAACAGAACAAAUUGUACAUAAGAAAUAUAAAACACACAACAACAAAUUACUUUAGAACAUAACAGAUUGUACAUAAGCAGUUAAAAAACACACAACUACAAGUUACUUCAGAACAUAACAGAUUGUACAUAAGCAGUAUAAAACAUGCAACUACAAGUUACUUCAGAACAGAACAAAUUGUACAUAAGAAAUAUAAAACACACAACAACAAAUUACUUCAGAACAUAACAGAUUGUUCAUAAGCAGUAUGAAGCACAUAAUUACAAGCUACUUCAGAACAUAACAGAUUGUACAUCAGCAGUAUAAAAUCGGAACAUAACAGAUUGUACACAAUCAGCAGUAUAAAACACACAGCUACAAGCUACUUGAGAACAUAACAGAUUGUAUAUAUUAGCUGUAUAAAACAUGCAACUGCAAGUUACUUCAGAACAUAACAGAUUGUACAUUAGCAGAAUAAAACACAUAACUACAUGUUACUUCAGAACAUAACAGAUUUUACACCAGGAGUAUAAAACACACAACUACAAGUUACUUCAGAACAGAACAAAUUGUACAUAAUCAGUAUAAAAUAUACAACUGCAAGUUACUUCAGAACAUAACAGAUUAUACAUUAGCAGAAUAAAACACAUGACUUCAUGUUACUUCAGAACAUAACAGAUUGUACACAAGCAGUAUAAAACACACAACUACAAGUUACUUCAGAACAUAACAGAUUGUACAUAAGCAGUAUAAAAUAUACAACUACAAGUUACUUCAGAACAUAACAGAUUGUACAUUAGCAGUAUAAAACACAUAACUACAAGGUACUUCUGAACAUAAUAUAAUAAUAUAUCUGUAUGGAAACUGAUAUUAAUAUCAUUAUACUGAAUAUUUAAAUAGAAAUCUGAUUUAAAUUUAACAGUUUAUAAUGAGAGAGAAAAUAAUAAAGGUAUUUUUUUCUCUCAUUAAUUGUUUUUGUUUGUUUUGAAUUAUAGUUGAUAAAGUUCUUACUUUGAAUAUUUACAAGAACAUUUUUUACACCAAGGUUUUACAGCGUGUAAAACAAAUAUCACACAUGUAUGUUAUUGCUUCACUUUGACCACAUUCCUUAAUAUAUACAAAAUUAUGUUGUUAAUUAGACAGGUUUAAUGGACAACAAAUAUUUGUAAGAAUCAUAUAAAGUGGGGUCUCAUUUUGUUUGUCUCCUUGUGCUAAAUCAGGAAAUGUAACUAUUUUUCAUAUUUCUUUGAAAAAGUUACUUUUUAAAAAAUUGAUCAUUAUUCUGAAUCAUGUUAAUCAGACAGAUUUAAUCAUUAUAUUAACAAAUACUUGUUAGAAUUAUAUAAAGUGAGAUGUCAUUUUACUCAGAGAAUUGUAAUGAAUCCAUUGAUAUAAAUAUUUUGUUCAUUUCUUAAAAAAAAAAUUAACAUGACAGUUCUGAUGGAAGUUUUGACAUCUCACAAAAAAAACAGUUGUUAUAUUUGUUGUUUAUAUACAAUAUAAAUACAAGUGUGACUGGUCAUUUUAUUCAGUUUUGACCACUGAUUCAUGUGAUAUAUAUUUUUGUUUAUAUUUAUUACACAACAUUGUCCAGUUUAUCAGACAAGUUUUGAUGUCAGUUGUAUUAUUCCAGGUUUGGUGGACAGACAGCAUUAAUGUUGGCUGCCAGGUUUAGGACACCUGGAGAUCUGUAGUCUCCUCAUUGAUAGAGGAUGUAAGAUCGACAUCACAGAUCCAGUAUGUUAUCUACUUAGUCUGAUCACAUUACUAUUAAUCUACACUAAAUCAUGUUGUUAAUUAGACAGGUUUAAUGAACAAAUAUUUGUAAUAAUUAUAUAAAGUGGGGUCUCAUUUUACUCGUAUUAUUGUUCUGAAUCAGAAAAUAUUACUCCUUUUCAUGUUUCUUAAAAAAAAAUUUUUUUAUUAAAAUGAAUCAAUGAUACUGAAUCUACACUAAUUCCUGUUGUUAAUUAGACAGUUUUAACAUGAACAAAUAUUGUAAGAAUCAUAUAAAGUGGGGUCUCAUUUUGCUUGUUUUGUUCUACUGAAUCCAUUGAUAUAAUUAUUUUACACAUUUCUUGAAAAAAAAUUUUUUUUUUAAAGAUAUCAGGUUUUAAUGGAAGUUUUGACAUUUCACAACAAAACAUGUUUAUUUGUUGUUUUAUAUACAAUAUAAAUACAAGUGUGACUGGUCAUUUUAUUCAGUUUUGACCACUGAUUCAUGUGAUAUAUAUUUUGUUUAUAUUUAUUACACAACAUUGUCCAGUUUAUCAGACAAGUUUUGAUGUCAGUUGUAUUAUUCCAGGAGAUGGAUGGACAGCAUUAAUGUGAGGUGCUGAGGAGGACACCUGGAGAUCUGUAGACUCCUCAUUGAUAGAGGAUGUAAGAUCGACAUCACAACAGUAUGUUAUCUACUUAGUCUGAUCACAUUACUAUUAAUCUACACUCAUGUUGUUACAGCAAAUAUUUUAAUUCAUUUGUUUAAAAAUUAUUGACAAUGUUAAUUAAUUACAAACAAAUAUUAUGUGUAAGAAUCAUAUAAAGUGGGGUCUCAUUUUGUUUUGUUUUGUUCUACUGAAUCCAUUGAUAUAAUUAUUUUACACAUUUCUUGAAAAAAAUAUUUUUUUAAGAUAUCAGGUUUAAUGGAAGUUUUGACAUUUCACAACAAAACAUGUUUAUUUUUGUUUAUAUACAAUAUAAAUACAAGUGUGACUGGUCAUUUUAUUCAGUUUUGACCACUGAUUCAUGUGAUAUAUAUUUUGUUUAUAUUUAUUACACAACAUUGUCCAGUUUAUCAGACAAGUUUUGAUGUCAGUUGUAUUAUUCCAGGUUGAUGGAUGGACAGCAUUAAUGUUGGCUGCCAGGGAAGGACACCUGGAGAUCUGUAGACUCCUCAUUGAUAGAGGAUGUAAGAUCGACAUCACAAUG
RNAcentral lists this long non-coding RNA (5553 nucleotides) under Mytilus galloprovincialis (Mediterranean mussel). Lineage: Eukaryota; Metazoa; Mollusca; Bivalvia; Mytilida; Mytilidae. The record is from RNAcentral.